Molecule: long non-coding RNA, 144 nt
Organism: Penaeus monodon (black tiger shrimp)
Lineage: Eukaryota; Metazoa; Arthropoda; Malacostraca; Decapoda; Penaeidae
Exons: 3
Source: RefSeq, a predicted model, not a curated record
UUUUAUUACUCGUAUUGUGGUUAGCCGUCGGCGUGGAAUUGAAACGAUCCUCUUGUAAUGAUAUCAUCAGCCUGGUCUACCCAACUAAGAUGUUAAGGUCCUCCAGAAGUGGCAUUACAGCACCAGAAGGAACUAUAGAAAUGG